AGCCACAGCCAUAUCACACAGCAGACCAAGAAUGGUAACUCCCUGAAGCUAAGCAGGGCUGAGCCUGGUCAAUAUCUGGAUGGGAGACCACAUAGGAAAACUAAGUUGCUGUUGGAA
RNAcentral lists this ribosomal RNA (117 nucleotides) under Danio rerio (zebrafish). The record is from RNAcentral. Lineage: Eukaryota; Metazoa; Chordata; Actinopteri; Cypriniformes; Danionidae.